GAUGAACGCUGGCGGCGUGCUUAACACAUGCAAGUCGAACGGAAAGGCCCAAGCUUGCUUGGGUGCUCGAGUGGCGAACGGGUGAGUAACACGUGGGUGAUCUGCCCUGCACUUCGGGAUAAGCCUGGGAAACUGGGUCUAAUACCGGAUAGGACCACAUUUUGGAUGGUGUGGUGGAAAGUUUUUCGGUGUGGGAUGAGCUCGCGGCCUAUCAGCUUGUUGGUGGGGUAAUGGCCUACCAAGGCGUCGACGGGUAGCCGGCCUGAGAGGGUGUACGGCCACAUUGGGACUGAGAUACGGCCCAGACUCCUACGGGAGGCAGCAGUGGGGAAUAUUGCACAAUGGGCGCAAGCCUGAUGUAGCGACGCCGCGUGGGGGAUGACGGCCUUCGGGUUGUAAACUCCUUUCGCUAGGGACGAAGCGCAAGUGACGGUACCUGGAGAAGAAGCACCGGCUAACUACGUG
This 465-nucleotide ribosomal RNA is filed under the name uncultured bacterium. RNAcentral's name for it is "partial 16S ribosomal RNA". It matches the Rfam family "Bacterial small subunit ribosomal RNA", at positions 28 to 507 of the family's 1533-position model. The record is from RNAcentral.